GGGCUUGUAGCUCAGUUGGGAGAGCGCACGGUUCGCAUCCGUGAGGUCGAGAGUUCGAAUCUCUUCAGGUCCACCA
Molecule: transfer RNA, 76 nt
Filed under: Clostridia bacterium
Lineage: Bacteria; Bacillati; Bacillota; Clostridia
Description: tRNA-Ala
Rfam family: tRNA
About the family: Transfer RNA (tRNA) molecules are approximately 80 nucleotides in length.
Source: RNAcentral